Triticum aestivum (bread wheat) is the source of this 2252-nucleotide long non-coding RNA. RefSeq lists it as uncharacterized. The record is from RefSeq and is a predicted model, not a curated record. Lineage: Eukaryota; Viridiplantae; Streptophyta; Magnoliopsida; Poales; Poaceae. The transcript is spliced from 3 exons.
CCGUGCGCUUCCCCCCAUCCACCCCACCCUCGGUCACCGCCUGCGCUCCUGCAAGCCGUCGUCGGCCUCCGUUCAGCCGUACCCAACGCCCUUCUCCUCCGUUCUCCCUCCCUCUCCUCGCUGAUCUCUCUCCCUCUCUUCGUUCCCGUGCAGGACGCCAUGGCCAUGGACGAAAGCUCCGCUGGACCUUCCAUCAUGACUGCCAGCCUUCCUCCCGACCAGAUCACCGACGCGGCUGCUGUGGUCCGGGCUGGCCGCCAUCCUAUUUUGCGGGUUCGUGGCCACGUUUUCCUACUAGACCACGACCGCCACUUCCUGCUAGAUUAGCGGACAGGGAGAAGAAGGAAGAAGUUGCAGUAAUCAUAAGUGUGGUGAACCAGGCAGGGGACACAGGAUGAUGAGUAUGAAUCAUGAGAUAAACUUCAACUGAAAAAACAGGAUUCUGAGGUGAUAUAUACUCUCAAAGGCAUGAAGACAGGUAUGUCAUAAUACUCCAGUUAAUUACUAAAUCCCCAGAGUUGCAGAGGAGUUCUACAUUAUUUCAUUAGUGCAUUUAGAGCAUGUCAAAUGGAAGUACAAGUUAUUUAGGGGUAAAAUCAACUUCCCUCUGAAGUCUGCUGCUGGUCAGGCUCUUUUAUAUGGUGGUCUGACCUGGUCACACUCUUUCGACAGUCAAUACAUAUUUUCUCUUGGGUAAUUUGCUUCACCUAAGCUUCAGUACCACUUUCUAUCAUGUGCAUGGCCCCUUGAGUUCAUAUCUUCUAUUGGCGUCUGAAAACUAUCAUUUUUGGUCAGCUGAUAUCACUCUAUUCAUGCUAUCAAAUUUUCUUUCUCACUAUAUGGUAGUCCUUGACCUGUUUGUGGCAUCGGAGAAGGGACUUUUCCUCUUUUUUGCACUUUUAUCUUGUUUUUUUAAUAUAUUAUUUUUAGUUGUAUAUUAUAGAAGGAUUGGGCAUGGAGAUCUACGAUGGAAGCAUUUGUGUAUAUACUGUACCUCUGUAUAUCUUUCCAAAUUCCAUCUUGCCUUACCAUACAUUUUUAAAAGAACAAUUGUUUUCUGAGUCAUUGGUGUACUUAUGUUGUGUUGUCUGACCAUGUGAGUAUAUAACAAUUUGUUGGACAAAAGUAUUCUUGUGGUUUGUGCCAAGGUUGGGCACCAUCUUAUCUUAAAAUAUAAAAUGAUAACAUUGCCAAACAUUUUUAUUUUGAAGGGCCAACAAGAAAGGAUUUCUUCCGCCAACAUAACAAAGAACCCAUUGGGUGGAUGCAACACCCGAAUGCCUUUUUGACUAAGUCAUUUUAAUUAACUAAUUACAGUGGCGGAGCUAGAUGGGGAUAGCUCGAGAGGCAAAGGGCAAAAACAUAAAUUCUUGAGCGGUCCAAAGACUAAAAUAUGUUGAAUUAAGCAUCCGAAGAGAUUUUUUAUUCACAAAUUUUCUCAAGGUUGGGGGUUUAAUGUAAGUUUCUCUGCUAUUAAAACUGCAACUUUCCAUCCUGAUUAUGUCCAUGAUUAAGUUUUGGGUGUGGGCACCGGUAGGAGAUCAAGCACUCCGUCCUCUGUCACUUGCUGGCAAACGAGGUCGAGUCUGCGCGGAGCACUGGUCUCCUCCUUGCUGCCAGCGAAGCCCUCCUGUCUCCUCUGCACCAGUCUACUCCUUCAUGUCUCUCUCCCUCUCAAUCUCCUCUUUCUGUUGUUUGUUUUCUCUAUCUCACAUAGGAAAGCUCUUGAUCCACCAAAACACUGAAUCAUGUACAUAUAUUUGCUACCCUAGGAAAGAAGGAUGUAAAACUGAACUACAAACAUCUGUAGUGUAGAGCAUCCAGGAUAAAGGGUUGUGGAUGUCCCAUUGCUGCACGAACUGAACCAAGGAUGUUUAGCAACUAAUUUCUUUUUUUUGUGGCAUCAACACGAGGAUGGGAUUCAUAAUUGAGAACAUCAUGUGUUCAUAAUAUAUAUUUUGUGGUAGCAACUGAACCAAGGAUGCUCAUGGCAAGUUUAAUCGCAAUAUAAAUCAUUUGGUUUGGAAACACACCUGCUAAAAAAAUAGAUUGAUCUUUUCUUAAAAUCUUCAACCUUCUAUGUAAACCAGUUCUCCUUUGUAUCAUAUCCGAGUUCCAUCUAGAUUAUAUCUGAUUUUAGUGAUAUAUAAAUCAAAAUUGAUUUAUUCACUCUUUGGUAAGCACUUACACAUUUGAUUGUUCUGGCGUUCUGUUUUAUGUGGUUUGAUUUAUCAACCUAAUUCGGUCUUUCU